CUCUGUCACCCCAGCUAGAACGCAGUGGCAUCAUUAUAGCUCACUGCAACUGCUAGGUGAGAAACCAUGGGUUCUUGGCAUGCUCACGGCUGAAGAACGAAGAAUGACCAGACACACCAAAGCUAGGCAAGCAUGAAAAUGAGGUUUAUUGAGGAGAGAAAGACAGGAUUAUAGGGCAAGAGCAAGAUACAGGUUUACAGAGCAAGAUACAUGUGCCACACAUGACGACGGGACCCAUUGUCCUAGCAGAGCAAGCAAAAGGAAGGGCAAAGAGAGAGCUUGGCUGUGGUCUGCAUCCUAUUUUAUAGUGUCCAGAUAGAGACCUCCCUCGUGGUUCAGAGGUCACCAAGAAACCACUUUGAUUAGACAGUUGGGAGUCACAUGACCUGAGCCUUAACUACACAUGUGGGUUCUAGGUCACUUUCCGGACUUGAUGGUACCCAUGUGGCUUGGCCUGUGGGCUAGAGAGUCCUCUGCAUUCUUUUGUAGCUGGUGUACCAAGUUCUGACUGGCAGAUUCAUAUGGUGUUCCCUCCUCCCCCAGGUGUGGAGAAUUAGGGUGGGGCAGGGCCAAGACUGGGGCAACAGCACCCCCUUCGUCCAUAGGAGACCUGGAAUCCCUCACUAUCUACCUAACACAACCUCAAACUCCUGGGCCCAAGCAGCCCUCCUGACCCAGCCUCCCAGGUAGCUGGGACUACAGGUGUGCACCACCACUGCCCAACUACUUUUAUGAGUCUCACUCUGCCUCAGGCUGGGCUCAAGCGACCCUCCCGCCUUGACCUCCCACAGUGCUAGGAUUAUAGGUGUGAGCCACUGCACUGGCCUCAACUUUAUUUUUUAGAACAGUUUUAGACAUACAGAAAACUUAGUAAGAUAAUGCAGAAUUUCUAUAAACCCUGCAUCCAUUUUCUCCUAUUACUAAUAAUUUAUUAAUUUAUUUGGCACUUUUUUUUAAGCAAGCACGAAAAUGAGGUUAAUUGAGGAAAGAUUGGAUUACAGGACAAGAGCAAGACACAAGUUUACAGAGUGUGAUACACACACCACUGAGGGCGACUGGCCCCGCUGUUGCAGCAAAGGGAGAGCCACUGGAGGGGCACAAAAAGAGGACUGGUACACUUGCUAUAACUAACGAACCAACGUUGAUAUUUUAUUAACUAAAGCCCAUGCUGUGUUCGUAUUUCCUUAGCUUUCCCCUCGUAUCUUUUUACUGUUGGAAGAGCUCAUUCGGAAUACCCCGUCAUGCUUGGUCCUCCUGUCUCCUUAGUCUCCUCUUGACUUGAGCGCAACCCCGCCUACUAUGAAAAGCCCAGCCCUUGGAUGUGCUGCCUGGAAUGAAAUCGCGGGUCUCCUGUGUGUUCCUGAGCAACUUCCUUGAGCACCCAGCGCCUUCUCUGUAAAACGGGCGGUGAUGUCUCCUUCAGGCUGGUCACGUACAUUAAAUGGCUCUCCUGAUAAGAGCGACACUAGAGCUGAAGGAUGGAUGCGACUGGGGCAAAGGGGUCGUAGGAGUUGGUGGUUUGAAGAAUUCAUUACAAGCAGCUGUUCUGCCCACCGUCCUCUGCCGUACACGAACUGCACCUAGCAGGAAGCAAUUCUUCACCUGCCAGUUUGGCCCUGAACAGGGCAGGUAGGAUGGGGGGCGGCUAUCUCGGUUUAUAAAAACCCUCACAAAACCCCCUUCUGUGCUGACUCUCUUUUCGGACUCAGCCCUCUUGCAAAUAAACCAGCCAUGUUGCUCCCA
This is a long non-coding RNA of Lemur catta (Ring-tailed lemur), 1743 nucleotides long. RefSeq lists it as uncharacterized. The transcript has 3 exons. NCBI's taxonomy places the organism in Eukaryota, Metazoa, Chordata, Mammalia, Primates, Lemuridae. The record is from RefSeq and is a predicted model, not a curated record.